This is a non-coding RNA of Leptonychotes weddellii (Weddell seal), 2725 nucleotides long. The record is from RefSeq and is a predicted model, not a curated record. NCBI's taxonomy places the organism in Eukaryota, Metazoa, Chordata, Mammalia, Carnivora, Phocidae.
GCUCGGAGGCGUCGCGGAGCUGGGGCCGGCGCGGCGCGGAGGCAGGAGAGCGAGAGGGGGCCCUGCCCGGGAGACCAGGGUGGGAGGCCUGCGGGAGGCAGCUGGCCUGGAGCUGAGCCUGGAGCGGUCCCGGCCCGGCAGGCCCUGGGAGCCCGGGGGAGGAGGAGCCAAGUGAUCCCAAAGGGACGCAGAGUCCCUCCCGGGUCCCAGUUGUCCUUUGAAUCCUGGGGGAUUUCGUCCCUGUUUCCUGAGCCUCAGUGGGGACCACAGACCCUCCCUCUGACCUCGAUAGGGACCCCAGGUCCCCCUCCUGAGCCUGGGGGCGUCCUCUAGCCCCCUUCUCUGGACCCCACUGUGUCUCUGAGCCACUAGUCCCCUCUCUCAGACCCAGGGAGACUUUCUCUGAUCUCUCUUCUCUGAAUGGCCUGGGAGACACCCACCCCCUUUUCCUGAAGCCAAGCCAGGACUCCACUGUCCCCUGUGUGAAUGUUGGGGGUCCUACAGCCUUUCUGAGACGCAGGAGUUCUGAUCUCUUCUGAACCCCGGAGGGGACCCAACCUCUCCCUCCCCAGAUUCUGAGCCCAAAAGGAACCAGGAGGCAUCUCCUCUGACACUCAGAGGACCUCAGCAACCCUCCCUGGGUACCCCAAGCUCUGAGCCUUAGUGGGGUGCUCAGAUCCCCUCCCCCCAGGACACCCAGUUUCCCUCUGGUGAUUCACCCCAGUGGGGACCCAGAGCAGCCCCUCAGAGCCUCAGCCAGUGUUCAGUUCUCCUUCCUCUAGAGCCGUGAGGUCCCCCUCCUAGAGACCCAGCUUCUAGCUCUGGGCCUUGGGGGUCCCUUGCUUUUCUUCUGGGUCCCACCUUCCUUGCAGAGUUUUUGCGGCCUCCCCAGGCCCUCCUCGGAAUUUAGAGGGUUUCCGGGGUAGGAGGCUCUAUUUUUUUCUCUUCUAAGCUCCAGAGGUGACCUCGACUCCCCCACUGGAGGUUCCAGGGAAGAUUCCCAUCUUCCUUUCUCAGAAUCCAGUGGAAACUGAGCCCCUCACCUCCUUCAGGACCCCAGGCGCUCCCCUCCCCGCUCCCCAGCUCUGCGUCCUUUGCACCUGUUCUGAGCCCCGUGGGCUGCGGCCUCUAGGAUGAUGAUGUGGUCCAACUUUUUCAUGCAAGAGGAGGACCGGCGGCGUCGGGAGGCUGUGGGCCGGCGGCGGGCUCAGGGGCAGCACCAGUUGACGCCGGAGCGGGAGGGGAAGAUCAAGCUGGGGCUCCUGCUGAGCGCCGUGGGCUCCACGCUGGCCGUGCUGGCCGUGGGCACCGAGUUCUGGGUAGAGCUCAACACCUACAAGAUCAAUGGCAGCGCUAUCUGCGAUGCUGCCCACCUGGGGCUCUGGAAGAUGUGCACCAAGCGACUGUGGCAGGCCGACGUGCCCGCGGGCAGAGACACCUGCGGCCCCGCAGAGCUGCCUGGAGAAGCAAACUGUACCUAUUUUAAAUUCUUUACUACGGGGGAGAAUGCGCGCAUCUUCCAGAGAACUACAAAGAAAGAGGUAAAUCUGGCAGCUGCAGUGAUAGCAGUGCUAGGCCUGGCAGUCAUGGCCUUGGGGUGCCUCUGUAUCAUCAUGGUGCUCAGCAAAGGUGCAGAUUUCCUACUCCGAGUUGGAGCCGUCUGCUUUGGCCUCUCAGAACCCUGGCUGAGGAAAAGAACUCGGAUCUUGGAAGCUGCUUUCAUGUUCUUAGCUGAGCUCAUCCCCACCUCCAGCUCCAAGAUUACCAACCACAACCUGGAUUUUGACCUGAAGAAGAUUCAAGCUCAUGGCCAGAGGGACAGAUGAGACCCACAGACAUAUUUGUUUAGCCUUCACGAUGUUUACAAGGAUACAUGACACUGAUACAACAUGCCUCCUCUUGACUGCAACAGUUUCCGGACUCCUUGUUCUGAAUGACCUUGAUGGUUUGAAUGACCUUGAUGGUUUGAAUGACUUUGAUGGUUUUGAGGAGUGCUGCUCAGGUGUCAGGGCUGGGGUUCAUGUUCACCUGAAGGUGUGGAAGAGCGGUGUUGGAAUUAGAAGAGUUAUGUUGUUUUUGUGUGUUUGUGUCCAAGAGCUGUGAGUCCCCACGCAGGAGGGUAGCAAGCACCCCAGUUCCUGGCUUCAAGCUCCGAGGGGGAUAGCUUCCACUGGACCGCUCAGAGCAUUCAGUAUGGGGUCAGGGCAGGCUCAGAGAGGAAUAGGGUCCGGCUCAAGUUUGAACCAUCUCGAGGGCUCAAGGUUGUGGCUCACAGCUCUGCAGACAUUUGGGACAGAAUGAAGGAAUCAGGUGUCUUUUGUGCUUUCCACCAGCGCCACCUGGAGGUGGAAGGUGAACCCUGCAGAGAGGCUGGAAAUGGGCUGAUGGACCCCAAAGACAGAGCAGGCGGUCCUUCUUUGAGCACCUGGAGGAGAUGCGUUUACAGGCACCGGGGGGUAUGCAGGGUUCCCAGAAUGACUGAACAAGAAAGCUGCACGGUGAGGGAGGAUGCUGAGUGUUGGAAGCAGUCAGAAGCAAGAAAACAAAAGCUGCAGGCAUCCCAGCUCCUCGGCGGAUGCUCUGAGUCAUCUUCGUGUUUCUCCUUAAAGACCGGCUUCCUCCACAUGGUGAGACAGAUGGCCACCAAGAGCUCCCAAGUUUUAAAGAGAAUGACUUCCCCGACAAGAGGAACAGAGGGAAGGUCAUAUGAAGACACAGCGAGAGG